This is a long non-coding RNA of Mizuhopecten yessoensis (Yesso scallop), 4318 nucleotides long. RefSeq lists it as uncharacterized. Lineage: Eukaryota; Metazoa; Mollusca; Bivalvia; Pectinida; Pectinidae. The record is from RefSeq and is a predicted model, not a curated record. The transcript is spliced from 5 exons.
UCAUUUUGCCAUAAAAAUACAUUUACGAUUUGUUUACUAUACUGUUGACGACAACGGAGUUGCACAGUCUAUACGGUGCUGCCACGUAGCAAAGUAGGUCUACGUUUCUGUUUGAGCAAUUAAUUCUGCAGUUGUGGUGAAUAUUCAGGUCGGUGAUACCAGUCUCAGAUUCGAUCUACAAUUAUGGAUUACAGACAAGUUCGGAUGUGGUUAGUCUUGCUGUUGCUACUGCUGGUGACUGGAGCUCUGUCCUCGUGGCUGGGCGACUUUUCAUGCUGCGUUGUUCAGGCGGGUGCCCGUUAUACUGGAGGCGUAUUGUUAUCAGGAUUAGUCGAAAAGACCGUGUGCAAAUGUAACUAAAUAUAGCGACCAUUGUCGAAACUACGCAUCAACUCGCUGACAUGAUAAUGGUUUUCUUUUCACGGAAUAUUUCUUAAUUAGUCAAUAUUUUUUUGUAUAAAAUAAUUUACUUCAGGUUGUUAGAAUGAAUUCCAAAUGACUACAGAGACUAAAUCAAAUAAAUGAUUAUAUGUACAAUUGACAACUUAUUUUGCUUAACUUACACUUACUUGAUCAAAAGGUCUGCUUACGAACCUAUGUUAUGGAAUUAAGAACAGUUUAAAAAGAUCAACUAAAAUUGCUUAUCAUUACAUACGUGUUAUUUUUGAUGUGACCACGUUCGCAAUGUAACGACACUUUUCUUUGGUUAAAAGCUAUGUGUUAUCACAUUACAUAUAUUCAGUUAUUAGUUUUCAACAAAUCAUGAAUUCGCUUUUCAGCAAUAUCUCCCCGUGUUAUAAAUGUAAACAAACGAACCAUGAAAAUGUUGUUUUUCCUUUUUCGAGUGAUUGUAAACGAAUUUAUAUUGACAUAUUUGAAGAUUGGCUAACAAACAACUAAAACAAAUUUCUAUUUAACUGAUUUCUUAUUAAUUACUAUUUAAAUGAAAUCCUACUAUAUCAAGCUCACGAUCAGAAUGCCUUGCCGUGCUAACGAUGAAUGGGACAUGACGUGUGUUUAGCUAUGUCGAGUGGUGAUUUAAUGUGCUGAAAAGCGAUGGCGAUAGAUGGAUGCUUUUAAUUCAUUGAAAUAAAUAUCUUGUUAAAAGCAUAACGUCAAUGUUUAUAGUUUAUUGUCGGACAAUUGGUAAACCAAACGGAGGCUUGUUGGGUUUCAAGACAUAUGAUCCAUCAUUGAGGCGAGAUGUGCCAAGUUGAUGGCUUUCACCGGCCAUACAAAAUCUUAGCUCAACUUGUUCUGGGUGAAAAGUCACGCAUAGGCAGAGGAUACGAUGUACCUUCUGUAGCUCUUAUCAUUUAUCGUACAUUUCCAAUAAAUCAACAAAUUAUGAGGCAUAACCAGACAAAAUAAGCCACUUCCCCAUCUAUCUAUUGAUCCAUAUGUGUUACUCUUAUGUUCACACACUAUGUGGGAAAAAAUGGCUUAACAAUAUUUGUUUCAAACACUAAGUCAGAAUUUAAGCCCUAUGAAUUAACCUUCUAAAUUAUUGUUCAUAUACGACGCAACUGUUAAGCACCUAGACAAGGUUAGGAAACUAAAACAAUUUUCUGUGAUAUAAGCAGGGACUUUAACUGGAAUUUGUAUUUUGAUUUGAUCUAUUGAUUAACAAAAUUCACAAUAUCUUGUGUAUGUGAUACUAUGUUCUAAUGAUUUCAUCUUACCUUAAUGAUAGUAGACAGAGAGUCGUCUGGGAUGGUUUUCAAUUAAAUUGAUAACCCCUAAGAAUGUACACUUCUGAAAAGUUAAAAAAAAUCAAAAGAACUUCAGUUGACCAAUAUUAAUAAUGAAAUACUAAUAUGGUAUUUUCCAGUCUGUAGCAUAUCAUUUUCAUAAUAUUAAACAUAGCAAAACUUAAUUUACUACAGUUAAAACUGGCGAUGCAAUGAGAUUCUAUAACUACCUUUCUUUAAUGUGAAAAUAAUAUUGGUUGAGUGCAAGUAAUACUUAUUUGUUUGGGAUACACAAACCGGUUGCUUGAUUGGUCGUAAAAACUGUAAUGAUCAGAAUCAUUUCUAUUGUACAUAACUGAUUUGAUGUCUGACGUCAGGUAAUUUAUUGCUGAUGAUAUAUCCCGUUAUUCUCUGAUCAAAUGAAAGGACAGGACACUGCUGACAUGUCAAAUAAUGAAUUAAGGAAAAACAUCAAUUUUGGCUGGAAUUGUGUUCAACCAAAUCUUUCCAAUUCUGAAGUCGAGUUAACUCCAAGACAGUGGAUAUCAAGCUAUUCUCACAAUAAUUCAGUUAUAAUAAAACAAAGUAAACAGAGGCUCACAUAACCAAACCCCACCUAUUUCCCCCGUCCCAAUCCCAAUCUCUCUUCUGGUGUAAAUGGCAUGUAAUUUGUUGUCGCGUUUGUUACAUAAGCGUUUUAGCACAAGGGUGAUGAUAUCUGGCCAGUAGCAUACUAGGUUGAAGGCUACCAAGUUGUUUUUCAAAAGAAUAACCUACUUUCAAGGCCAUAAAGGACAAACGUGUCUAACUCUUUGAACAAAUUCUUUCCCAAAAGGUCAAGGGUGAUGGUAUUUGGCCUGUGUGCCUGCAACAAGCAUAGGUAAGGGUCCAAAAGGUCAAGGGUGAUGGUAUUUGGCCUGUGUGCCUGCAGCCUGCAUGGGUAAGGGUUACCAAGUUUGUUCAAAUGGAUGACCUUAAUUCACUUUCACGGGGUUAAAUGUAAAAUUCAUUUGGAUUUCAUAAGAUAUAUCUUGUACACACUUUUUAAAAGUACGGACGAUUUGUCCGUUAACUUUGUGAAAGACAUUAACUAGGUUUGUUGCCCAAUUAUAUUUGUUAAUGAGAUAUGUUCAGUAAAAUAAGAAGAGAAUGUCCCCAGAGAGUACUAUUGACAAAACACACAAAUUUACACGUUCAUUUGUGAAAUACAGUCGUGUUGUCUUUUAUGCGCUGCAGAUUACCAUACCAUAUAUUUACCUGUUAUAAAUAGAUAUUCUCAUUUCGGGGAUGAAAGUUCACUAUCUAUUUGAAUGCAAUAAUAUAACUAUAUCCACCUUACGUAACAAAUAUAUUCCUCGUUAUUAUUGUACAAACCCAAAUAUUUACAAGUUUAAAGGUCUUUUAUCAUUAUGCAAUCAACGAGUUCUGACAGGUAUAUCUAUUUUCCUAACCAAAAUGGCUCCUCUUUUGUGAAUGAUGCAUAUGUGUAACUGUUAACAGUUCAAUAACUUGGGAAUUAUAUGUAGGUUUUUUAUGUUUGUGUUGUAUUUUUCAUUGUAUGUCAUAUCAUGUUACUUUAUAACUGUCCAUUCUUUCAGUUAUACAUGUGUAUACAAAUAUGUAUAUUGUACUUCAUUUUCCAUAUCUGCAAAUUUAUUUCCUCAUGUAACCCAUAUUAUGUGUCUGAGUGUCAAUAAAAAUCUUGAAAUCAUUCAAUACAAAUCUGAUACGCUUGUGCAGUAUUUGGAACUGAGCCAUGACAAGGGUUUUACCAUAUAUAUUUCGAUGAUACUGCGUAUUAGGUUUCAAAACCGGUUUACAACUACUUUCUCUUUAUCAAUAGGGUAGAAAAUUGGCAUUUGGUUACAAAUACAUAUAUGGAUUUGUUUGUGUAACGUUUGACGACAACGGAGUUGCACAGUCUAUACGGUGCUGCCACGUAGGAAGGUAGGCCUACGUUUCUGUUUGAGCAAUUAAUUCUGCAGUUGAGGCGAAUAUUCAGUUCGGUGACAUAGCUCUGGUAUUCGCGUUAUAAACAUGGAUUACAGACAAAUGGUGACGAUAGUUCUCUUGAUGAUGAUGCUGGUGGUGACAGGAGUUGGUUCCGCCUGGGGUGGUUACAUUGCUUGCUGUGCUGCUAGAGGAGUUGCCCGUUAUUAUGGAGGCGCAAUUUUAACAAGCGCGUUCGAUUGGACCUUGUGUAAAUGUUUGUGAAUAUACACUACAUAAGAUGAUGACAGGUUUUUGUUUCUCCGUCGCCUUAUUUCAACUCACACCUGUCUUAAUUAUUGUCUUUCUUACUUGGUCUAGAUUAUCCAACUGAUGGCUGGAUAUACGAUGGCCAGAAUUAGAUCAAGCCAAUGUUUGUUUUCUUAAUAUCUACAAAACUCUCAAUAACUGUAUGCAUUGGAGAGAAAGUCAGAAUGUUCUAGGAAAGGGUAUUCUAGUGCGGAAAGGUGGACUAUUUUUUCGGGUAUAUAAUGGAGAUUAGUUGUAUGCAGUCAAUGGGCAUAAUUAUGAUCCAAACAAAAUUCAAUUUGUAAUAUUUAAUUAUUAUCUUCUUGUGUCAGUGUUGUUGUUUUCUAAGUUUAUUAAAAAAAAUACAUAGACAAAAUGUCUCGAUUGUU